CCUACGGGAGGCAGCAGUGGGGAAUAUUGCACAAUGGGCGCAAGCCUGAUGCAGCAACGCCGCGUGCGGGAUGACGGCCUUCGGGUUGUAAACCGCCUUCAGUUCCGACGAAGCGCAAGUGACGGUAGGAACAGAAGAAGGACCGGCCAACUACGUGCCAGCAGCCGCGGUGAUACGUAGGGCCCGAGCGUUGUCCGGAAUUAUUGGGCGUAAAGGGCUUGUAGGCGGUCUGUCACGUCGGAAGUGAAAACUCAGGGCUUAACCCUGAGCCGGCUUCCGAUACGGGCAGACUAGAGGAAUGCAGGGGAGAAUGGAAUUCCUGGUGGAGCGGUGGAAUGCGCAGAUAUCAGGAGGAACACCGGUGGCGAAGGCGGUUCUCUGGGCAUUUCCUGACGCUGAGAAGCGAAAGCGUGGGGAGCAAACAGGCUUAGAUACCCUGGUAGUCCACGCCGUAAACGGUGGGCACUAGGUGUGGGGAACAUUCCACGUUCUCCGUGCCGAAGCUAACGCAUUAAGUGCCCCGCCUGGGGAGUACGGCCGCAAGGCUAAAACUCAAAGGAAUUGACGGGGGCCCGCACAAGCGGCGGAGCAUGCGGAUUAAUUCGAUGCGACGCGAAGAACCUUACCUGGGUUUGACAUAUACCGGAAAGCUGCAGAGAUGCAGCCCCCGCAAGGUCGGUAUACAGGUGGUGCAUGGCUGUCGUCAGCUCGUGUCGUGAGAUGUUGGGUUAAGUCCCGCAACGAGCGCAACCCUCGUCCUAUGUUGCCAGCGGAUGCCGGGGACUCAUAGGAGACUGCCGGGGUCAACUCGGAGGACGGUGGGGAUGACGUCAAGUCAUCAUGCCCCUUAAGUCCAGGGCUUCACGCAUGCUACAAUGGCUGGUACAAAGGGCUGCGAUACCGCAAGGUCGAGCGAAUCCCAAAAGCCAGUCUCAGUUCGGAUUGGGGUCUGCACUCGACCCCAUGAGUCGAGUCGCUAGUAAUCGCAGAUCAGCACGCGCGUGAUACGUUCCCGGG
RNAcentral lists this ribosomal RNA (1017 nucleotides) under uncultured bacterium. Its description in RNAcentral is "bacterial SSU rRNA". It matches the Rfam family "Bacterial small subunit ribosomal RNA", at positions 338 to 1378 of the family's 1533-position model. The record is from RNAcentral.